Molecule: ribosomal RNA, 482 nt
Filed under: uncultured bacterium
Lineage: Bacteria
Description: bacterial SSU rRNA
Rfam family: Bacterial small subunit ribosomal RNA
Source: RNAcentral
AUUAAACGCUGGCGGCAUGCCUUACACAUGCAAGUCGAACGGUAACGCGGGGCAACCUGGCGACGAGUGGCGAACGGGUGAGUAACGCAUCGGAACAUGCCCAGUAGUGGGGGAUAGCCCGGCGAAAGCCGGAUUAAUACCGCAUACGACCUACGGGUGAAAGCGGGGGACCGUAAGGCCUCGCGCUAUUGGAGCGGCCGAUGUCAGAUUAGGUAGUUGGUGGGGUAAAGGCCCACCAAGCCGACGAUCUGUAGCUGGUCUGAGAGGACGACCAGCCACACUGGGACUGAGACACGGCCCAGACUCCUACGGGAGGCAGCAGUGGGGAAUUUUGGACAAUGGGCGCAAGCCUGAUCCAGCCAUGCCGCGUGCGGGAUGAAGGCCUUCGGGUUGUAAACCGCUUUUGUCAGGGAAGAAACGCUCCGGGCCAAUACCCUGGGGUAAUGACGGUACCUGAAAAAUAAGCACCGGCUAACUACGUG